This 103-nucleotide microRNA precursor is filed under the name Marmota monax (woodchuck). Lineage: Eukaryota; Metazoa; Chordata; Mammalia; Rodentia; Sciuridae. The record is from RNAcentral.
AAUGGAAUAGCUGGGUCAAAUGGUAGUUCCACUCCAAGUUUUCUGAGGAAUCUCCACACUGCUUUGCAUAGUAGCUGCACCAAUUUGCAGUCCCACGAGCAAU